CCCUUAGAUGUUCUGGGCCGCACGCGUGCUACACUGAGUGGAUCAGCGGGUCAGGUUGCGCGAAAGCGUUUCCUAAUCUUUAAAUCCGCUCGUGAUGGGGAUUGACGGUUGCAAUUUUCUGUCAUGAACGAGGAAUACCUUGUAAGCGCGGGUCAUCAUCCCGCGCUGAAUACGUCCCUGCCCCUUGUACACACCGCCCGUCGCUCCUACCGAUUGAGUGGUCCGGUGAGGCUUUGGGAUCUGAGCGGAAAGAGCGUCUCGCUGUUUCUGCUCGGAAAACUCAGUCGAACCUUAUCAUUUAGAGGAAGGAGAAGUCGUAACA
RNAcentral lists this ribosomal RNA (322 nucleotides) under uncultured eukaryote. Its description in RNAcentral is "partial 18S ribosomal RNA". It matches the Rfam family "Eukaryotic small subunit ribosomal RNA", at positions 1470 to 1796 of the family's 1831-position model. The record is from RNAcentral.